RNAcentral lists this ribosomal RNA (604 nucleotides) under uncultured bacterium. RNAcentral's name for it is "bacterial SSU rRNA". It matches the Rfam family "Bacterial small subunit ribosomal RNA", at positions 803 to 1404 of the family's 1533-position model. The record is from RNAcentral.
UAANCGAUGUAUACUAGUUGUUGCUAAGCUAGUCUUGGCAGUAAUGCACCUAACGGAUUAAGUAUACCGCCUGGGGAGUACGGUCACAAGAUUAAAACUCAAAGGAAUAGACGGGGACCCGCACAAGCGGUGGAGCAUGUGGUUUAAUUCGAAGAUACGCGAAGAACCUUACCCGGACUUGAUAUCUAACAAAUCAUCUAGAGAUAGAAGAGUGUCUGCUUGCAGAAAUGUUAAGACAGGUGCUGCACGGCUGUCGUCAGCUCGUGUCGUGAGAUGUUGGGUUAAGUCCCGCAACGAGCGCAACCCACGUCAUUAGUUGCUAACAGUUCGGCUGAGCACUCUAAUGAGACUGCCUUCGUAAGGAGGAGGAAGGUGUGGACGACGUCAAGUCAUCAUGGCCCUUAUGUCCGGGGCGACACACGUGCUACAAUGGCAUAUACAAUGAGAAGCAAUAUCGCGAGAUGGAGCAAAUCUAUAAAAUAUGUCUCAGUUCGGAUUGGAGUCUGCAACUCGACUCCAUGAAGCCGGAAUCGCUAGUAAUCGUAGAUCAGCCAUGCUACGGUGAAUACGUUCCCGGGUCUUGUACUCACCGCCCGUCACACCA